UAGGGAAUCUUCCGCAAUGGGCGAAAGCCUGACGGAGCAACGCCGCGUGAGUGAUGAAGGUCUUCGGAUCGUAAAACUCUGUUGUUAGGGAAGAACAAAUUUGUUAGUAACUGAACAAGUCUUGACGGUACCUAACCAGAAAGCCACGGCUAACUACGUGCCAGCAGCCGCGGUAAUACGUAGGUGGCAAGCGUUAUCCGGAAUUAUUGGGCGUAAAGCGCGCGUAGGCGGUUUCUUAAGUCUGAUGUGAAAGCCCACGGCUCAACCGUGGAGGGUCAUUGGAAACUGGGAAACUUGAGUGCAGAAGAGGAGAGUGGAAUUCCAUGUGUAGCGGUGAAAUGCGCAGAGAUAUGGAGGAACACCAGUGGCGAAGGCGGCUCUCUGGUCUGUAACUGACGCUGAUGUGCGAAAGCGUGGGGAUCAAACAGG
This 429-nucleotide ribosomal RNA is filed under the name Bacillota bacterium. RNAcentral describes it as "Firmicutes bacterium partial 16S ribosomal RNA". It matches the Rfam family "Bacterial small subunit ribosomal RNA", at positions 355 to 776 of the family's 1533-position model. RNAcentral also lists the same sequence under 2 other names. The record is from RNAcentral. Lineage: Bacteria; Bacillati; Bacillota.